RNAcentral lists this ribosomal RNA (424 nucleotides) under uncultured Vallitalea sp. RNAcentral describes it as "bacterial SSU rRNA". It matches the Rfam family "Bacterial small subunit ribosomal RNA", at positions 338 to 777 of the family's 1533-position model. The record is from RNAcentral. Lineage: Bacteria; Bacillati; Bacillota; Clostridia; Lachnospirales; Vallitaleaceae.
CCUACGGGAGGCAGCAGUGGGGAAUAUUGGGCAAUGGGGGGAACCCUGACCCAGCAACGCCGCGUGGAGGAAGAAGGUUUUCGGAUCGUAAACUCCUGUCCUUGGAGACGAGUAGAAGACGGUAUCCAAGGAGGAAGCCCCGGCUAACUACGUGCCAGCAGCCGCGGUAAUACGUAGGGGGCAAGCGUUGUCCGGAAUAAUUGGGCGUAAAGGGCGCGUAGGCGGCUCGGUAAGUCUGGAGUGAAAGUCCUGCUUUUAAGGUGGGAAUUGCUUUGGAUACUGUCGGGCUUGAGUGCAGGAGAGGUUAGUGGAAUUCCCAGUGUAGCGGUGAAAUGCGUAGAGAUUGGGAGGAACACCAGUGGCGAAGGCGACUAACUGGACUGUAACUGACGCUGAGGCGCGAAAGUGUGGGGAGCAAACAGGA